Molecule: long non-coding RNA, 252 nt
Filed under: Elaeis guineensis (African oil palm)
Lineage: Eukaryota; Viridiplantae; Streptophyta; Magnoliopsida; Arecales; Arecaceae
Description: long non-coding RNA (EGUI_LNC035151)
Source: RNAcentral
GCUACCUCAGUGACUUGCAAGCAACUCACUGUGCUUUGAUGUCGGACUAUCUGAAUUUCUAAUUUGAUGACGGAAGAUUUUUGGAUAUAGUCAAGUAUUUGUGAAAUCUGAGUGCGAGUCAAGAUGGGAUUUAUCGCUCUAAGUAAAAUUGGAGAUGAUGCAUCACUGUGUUUCAAUUCAGUAAAAUUUUGACCAAAGUAGUCCUAGUGAAGAGUCACAAGAUUUUUGAGGUUGAGACACAAUAUGGACCAC